This is a non-coding RNA of Methylosinus sp. R-45379, 393 nucleotides long. NCBI's taxonomy places the organism in Bacteria, Pseudomonadati, Pseudomonadota, Alphaproteobacteria, Hyphomicrobiales, Methylocystaceae. The record is from Rfam.
CCAGUCGGCUGGAUGGCCGCUGUCCUUCGGGAUAGAGGAAAGUCCGGGCUCCACGGAGACACGGCGCCGGAUAAUGUCCGGCGGGGGCGACCCCAGGGAAAGCGCCACAGAAAGCAAACCGCCGCGGCCUUCGGGCUCGCGGUAAGGGUGAAAGGGUGCGGUAAGAGCGCACCGCUCGGGCGGCGACGUUCGAGGCAUGGCAAGCCCCGCCGGGAGCAAGACCGAAUAGGGGCGACUGGAAAUAGCGAUAUUUCCUGGCCCGUCUCCGGGUCGUCGCCCGGGUUGGUUGCUAGAGGCGGCGCGCAAGCGUCGUCCCAGAGGAAUGGCCAUCGCGCGUGGAAGGGGCGACCCGACCGCGCCAUACAGAACCCGGCUUAUAGGCCGACUGGCGAU